UGUACAUUGAGAAGUGCUGGUUCGACCCAUCGUCAGGUGGGUCGUCGCAAGAGGGAAUUCCGGUGAGAGGCCGGAGCUGUCCCGCAGCGGUAUAUGGGAACAACGCCACAACGGGCACUGGGCCGCUCGGCCUGGGAAGCGGUGGCGUAGGAACCGGGAGCGAUCCCGAAUGCCCAUGAGCCCGAAGACCUGCCAGCCGCAGCAGCGCCAG
This 211-nucleotide non-coding RNA is filed under the name Propionibacterium acidifaciens. The record is from RNAcentral. Lineage: Bacteria; Bacillati; Actinomycetota; Actinomycetes; Propionibacteriales; Propionibacteriaceae.